UCCCUGGUUGAUCCUGCCAGUAGUCAUAUGCUUGUCUCAAAGAUUAAGCCAUGCAUGUCUCAGUGCAAGCCGCAUUAAGGUGAAACCGCGAAAGGCUCAUUAAAUCAGUUGUGGUUCCUUAGAUCGUACCCAAGUUACUUGGAUAACUGUGGUAAUUCUAGAGCUAAUACAUGCCGACAGAGUUCCGACCGUCGCGGCGCCCUCGGGCGUCGCUCGCGGGAGGAACGCUUUUAUUAGAUCAAAACCGGCCCGUCGCGGCGCGCUUCGUGCGCGUCCCGAUCGCGGCCCGCGCAAAGACCUGGUGACUCUGAAUAACUUCGAGCUGAUCGCACGGUCUCCGUACCGGCGACGCAUCUUCAAA
This 361-nucleotide non-coding RNA is filed under the name Acyrthosiphon pisum (pea aphid). RNAcentral's name for it is "Eukaryotic small subunit ribosomal RNA". It matches the Rfam family "Eukaryotic small subunit ribosomal RNA", at positions 1 to 302 of the family's 1831-position model. The record is from Rfam by way of RNAcentral. Lineage: Eukaryota; Metazoa; Arthropoda; Insecta; Hemiptera; Aphididae.